RNAcentral lists this unclassified non-coding RNA (413 nucleotides) under Borreliella valaisiana. Its description in RNAcentral is "partial contains 5S-23S ribosomal RNA intergenic spacer and 23S ribosomal RNA". The stretch from base 206 to 413 matches the Rfam family "Bacterial large subunit ribosomal RNA", at positions 1 to 215 of the family's 2925-position model. The record is from RNAcentral. Lineage: Bacteria; Pseudomonadati; Spirochaetota; Spirochaetia; Spirochaetales; Borreliaceae.
UGAGUUCGCGGAGAGUAGGUUAUUGCCAGGGUUUUUAUUUUGUAAUUUAAACCUUAAAUUUAUUUUUUUAAUGUUUAUGUUUUUGAAUGUUUUAUUCAAAUAAUGUAAAAAAUAAAAUAGAUAUUGACAUGGAUUGAACAAAAGAUAUAUAUUAUUUUAUGUUGCAUAAACAAAUUGGCAAAAUAGAGAUGGAAGAUAAAAAUAUGGUCAAAGUAAUAAGAGUCUAUGGUGAAUGCCUAGGAGCUUUAAGGCGAAGAAGGUCGUGGUAAGCUGCGAAAAGCUUGGGGGAGAAGCAAACAUUUAUUGAUCCCAAGAUUACCGAAUGGAGUAAUCCAACUAGCAAGAUGCUAGUUAUCUAUUAUCUAAAUAAUAGAGGCGAUACCAGGGGAAGUGAACCAUCUAAGUACCCUGAA